GGGCCUCUUGCCAUCAGAUGUGCCCAGAUGGGAUUAGCUAGUUGGUGAGGUAACGGCUCACCAAGGCGACGAUCCCUAGCUGGUCUGAGAGGAUGACCAGCCACACUGGAACUGAGACACGGUCCAGACUCCUACGGGAGGCAGCAGUGGGGAAUAUUGCACAAUGGGCGCAAGCCUGAUGCAGCCAUGCCGCGUGUAUGAAGAAGGCCUUCGGGUUGUAAAGUACUUUCAGCGGGGAGGAAGGUGUUGUGGUUAAUAACCGCAGCAAUUGACGUUACCCGCAGAAGAAGCACCGGCUAACUCCGUGCCAGCAGCCGCGGUAAUACGGAGGGUGCAAGCGUUAAUCGGAAUUACUGGGCGUAAAGCGCACGCAGGCGGUCUGUCAAGUCGGAUGUGAAAUCCCCGGGCUCAACCUGGGAACUGCAUUCGAAACUGGCAGGCUUGAGUC
This 448-nucleotide ribosomal RNA is filed under the name Salmonella enterica. Its description in RNAcentral is "bacterial SSU rRNA". It matches the Rfam family "Bacterial small subunit ribosomal RNA", at positions 208 to 648 of the family's 1533-position model. Lineage: Bacteria; Pseudomonadati; Pseudomonadota; Gammaproteobacteria; Enterobacterales; Enterobacteriaceae. The record is from RNAcentral.